GUAGUCGUGGCAGAGUGGUUAAGGCGAUGGGCUAGAUAUCCAUUGAGAUAACCCCGCGUAGGUUCGACGCCUACCGACUACG
Non-coding RNA from Caerostris darwini, 82 nucleotides. Lineage: Eukaryota; Metazoa; Arthropoda; Arachnida; Araneae; Araneidae. The record is from the annotation of a GenBank genome assembly.